AAAGUGCGACAAGUGUCACGACUUGCAGAUUCCCGGGAGCUGACCAAUUUCUGAAUGCAACUUGCGGACCGACUUUCUGCCCUGUCGGCCAUGUGCUGCAGAGUGUUGUUGCCUUGUGCACGACAUCUAUCUCUUUCCGCUCCGCGGAGAGAAAGGAUUCGGCGUUGGCCAACCCCACCCCACACACUGCUGUGGAGAAGGAUGGCCAGCGCUCAGAAUUGCGCAAGCCCGCGAUCAAAGACGGAGCCUGCCUUGAAGAUUCUUCGGCAGAGCGCACACAACGAGUCUUUUCGCGAGAGUGUGCGACGACCACCCUUUCAUUUUCUGCUGACCUCUGCAGCAUAAGAAAACCCGCUGAACUUAA
RNAcentral lists this unclassified non-coding RNA (364 nucleotides) under uncultured fungus. RNAcentral describes it as "sequence contains ITS1". The stretch from base 1 to 108 matches the Rfam family "5.8S ribosomal RNA", at positions 50 to 154 of the family's 154-position model. Lineage: Eukaryota; Fungi. The record is from RNAcentral.